AUUGAACGCUGGCGGCAUGCUUUACACAUGCAAGUCGAACGGUGACAGGCCGCAAGGUGCUGACGAGUGGCGAACGGGUGAGUAAUGCAUCGGAACGUGCCCAGUCGUGGGGGAUAACGCAGCGAAAGCUGUGCUAAUACCGCAUACGAUCUAUGGAUGAAAGCGGGGGACCGUAAGGCCUCGCGCGAUUGGAGCGGCCGAUGUCAGAUUAGGUAGUUGGUGGGGUAAAGGCCCACCAAGCCAACGAUCUGUAGCUGGUCUGAGAGGACGACCAGCCACACUGGGACUGAGACACGGCCCAGACUCCUACGGGAGGCAGCAGUGGGGAAUUUUGGACAAUGGGCGCAAGCCUGAUCCAGCAAUGCCGCGUGCAGGAAGAAGGCCUUCGGGUUGUAAACUGCUUUUGUACGGAACGAAAAGGUCUGGGUUAAUACCCUGGGCCGAUGACGGUACCGUAAGAAUAAGCACCGGCUAACUACGUGCCAGCAGCCGCCGUAA
This 498-nucleotide ribosomal RNA is filed under the name uncultured bacterium. Its description in RNAcentral is "partial 16S ribosomal RNA". It matches the Rfam family "Bacterial small subunit ribosomal RNA", at positions 29 to 523 of the family's 1533-position model. The record is from RNAcentral.